Molecule: small nuclear RNA, 101 nt
Filed under: Sorex araneus (European shrew)
Lineage: Eukaryota; Metazoa; Chordata; Mammalia; Eulipotyphla; Soricidae
Source: RNAcentral
UUGAGCUACUAGCAGCACAUAUAUACCAAAAUUGGAACAAUACAGAGAAGAUUAGCAUGCGCAAUGAUCAAGGGGAAAUUAUUUAUAUGCAGUAUUAUANN